Mytilus californianus (California mussel) is the source of this 488-nucleotide long non-coding RNA. RefSeq lists it as uncharacterized. Lineage: Eukaryota; Metazoa; Mollusca; Bivalvia; Mytilida; Mytilidae. The transcript is spliced from 2 exons. The record is from RefSeq and is a predicted model, not a curated record.
CAAGAAUUGAAUUCUUGGGGUUCUUUGAUAUGCUGAAUCUAAACAUGUGUUUAGAUUUUUGAUUAUGGGCCCAGUUUUCAAGUUGGUCCAAAUUGGGGUCCAAAAUUAAACUUUGUUUGAUUUCAACAAAAAUUGAAUAUAUGAGGUUCUUUGAUAUGCUGAAUCUAACCAUGUAUUUAGAUUUUUUAUUUGUGGGCCCCGCUAUCAAAUUGGUUCAUAUUGAGGUCAAAAGGGUCCAAAAUUAAACUUUGUUUGAUUUCAUCAAAAAUUGAAAUAUUGGGGUUCUUUGAUAUGCCAAAUCUAACCGUGUUUUUAGAUUUUUAAUUUGGGUCCCGUUUUUUAAAUUGGUCUUCAUUGAGGUCCAAAAGGUCCAAAAUUAAACUUAGUUUGAUUUUAACAAAAAUUGAAUUCUUGGGGUUCUUUGAUAUGCUUAAUCUAAACAUGUGUUUAGAUUUUUGAUUAUGGGCCCAGUUUUCAAGUUGGUCCAA